Penaeus monodon (black tiger shrimp) is the source of this 217-nucleotide long non-coding RNA. RefSeq lists it as uncharacterized. NCBI's taxonomy places the organism in Eukaryota, Metazoa, Arthropoda, Malacostraca, Decapoda, Penaeidae. The record is from RefSeq and is a predicted model, not a curated record. The transcript is spliced from 3 exons.
CCUUUGAUUAAUCUCCCGAGAAAUCUGAAUACAUUUUUUUUUUUUCGACCGAGAGGCUGUUGUUAUCUUGUGGGAUUAACCGACCACAACAUUGACGGCUUGCAAAUAAAUUUUUGGAGGAGCGGAUUAUUUCCGGGUCUUUACAUUAUAAUGAAGUCCAUUCUAACCUCGCUGUCCUUGGUCAACAGGGUUGGUGCUUGUAGCCAUGUAGCAGAAG